GAUGAACGCUGGCGGCGUGCCUAAUACAUGCAAGUCGAGCGAACAGACGAGGAGCUUGCUCCUCUGACGUUAGCGGCGGACGGGUGAGUAACACGUGGAUCACCUACCUAUAAGACUGGGAUAACUUCGGGAAACCGGAGCUAAUACCGGAUAAUAUAUUGAACCGCAUGGUUCAAUAGUGAAAGACGGUUUUGCUGUCUCUUAUAGAUGGAUCCGCGCCGCAUUAGCUAGUUGUUAAGGUAACGGCUUACCAAGGCAACGAUGCGUAGCCGACCUGAGAGGGGGAUCGGCCACACUGGAGCUGAGACGCGGUCCAGACUACUACGGGAGGCAGCAGUAGGGAAUCGUCCGCAAUGGGCGAAAGCCUGACGGAGCAACGCCGCGUGAGUGAUGAAGGUCUUCGGAUCGUAAAACUCUGUUAUUAGGGAAGAACAAAUGUGUAAGUAACUAUGCACGUCUUGACGGUACCUAAUCAGAAAGCCACGGCUAACUACGUG
This 497-nucleotide ribosomal RNA is filed under the name uncultured bacterium. Its description in RNAcentral is "partial 16S ribosomal RNA". It matches the Rfam family "Bacterial small subunit ribosomal RNA", at positions 28 to 507 of the family's 1533-position model. The record is from RNAcentral.